CGGGGUGUAGCGCAGCUUGGUAGCGCGUCUCGUUCGGGGCGAGAAGGUCGGAGGUUCAAAUCCUCUCACCCCGA
RNAcentral lists this transfer RNA (74 nucleotides) under Phycisphaerales bacterium. Its description in RNAcentral is "tRNA-Pro". It matches the Rfam family "tRNA". Rfam says of the family: Transfer RNA (tRNA) molecules are approximately 80 nucleotides in length. Their secondary structure includes four short double-helical elements and three loops (D, anti-codon, and T loops). Lineage: Bacteria; Pseudomonadati; Planctomycetota; Phycisphaerae; Phycisphaerales. RNAcentral also lists the same sequence under 1 other name. The record is from RNAcentral.